GAUGAACGCUGGCGGCGUGCCUAAUACAUGCAAGUCGAGCAAACGGACGAGAAGCUUGCUUUUCUGAUGUUAGCGGCGGACGGGUGAGUAACACGUGGAUAACCUACCUAUAAGACUGGGAUAACUUCGGGAAACCGGAGCUAAUACCGGAUAAUAUUUUGAACCGCAUGGUUCAAAAGUGAAAGACGGUCUUGCUGUCACUUAUAGAUGGAUCCGCGCUGCAUUAGCUAGUUGGUAAGGUAACGGCUUACCAAGGCAACGAUGCAUAGCCGACCUGAGAGGGUGAUCGGCCACACUGGAACUGAGACACGGUCCAGACUCCUACGGGAGGCAGCAGUAGGGAAUCUUCCGCAAAGGGCGAAAGCCUGACGGAGCAACGCCGCGUGAGUGAUGAAGGUCUUCGGAUCGUAAAACUCUGUUAUUAGGGAAGAACAUAUGUGUAAGUAACUGUGCACAUCUUGACGGUACCUAAUCAGAAAGCCACGGCUAACUACGUG
Molecule: ribosomal RNA, 497 nt
Filed under: uncultured bacterium
Lineage: Bacteria
Description: partial 16S ribosomal RNA
Rfam family: Bacterial small subunit ribosomal RNA
Source: RNAcentral